This 73-nucleotide transfer RNA is filed under the name Acidobacteriota bacterium. RNAcentral's name for it is "Acidobacteria bacterium tRNA-Glu". It matches the Rfam family "tRNA". From Rfam's summary of the family: Transfer RNA (tRNA) molecules are approximately 80 nucleotides in length. Lineage: Bacteria; Pseudomonadati; Acidobacteriota. The record is from RNAcentral.
GUCCCCAUCGUCUAGAGGACCAGGACGUCGCCCUUUCACGGCGAAAACACGGGUUCGAACCCCGUUGGGGACG